UUGACAAAAAUUAAGAACCAACAAGAACAAUAUAUGUGAGGAAGAAUUAGUCAACAAGAAGAUUAUCAUGCUUCAAAGUAUCUAUGUUUCUCUAUAAAUACAUAUUCUUCAAGAGAUGAUAAAUGUGCUUCCCAUCCUAAACUUGCAAUUUGUAUAGUAAUUUUUAAAAGAAAAAUGGAACUUGUCUACAAAUUGAAGUCAUUUGUUUCUGUUUUAGCAAUACUUUUAUUACUCAUGUCAUCUAUGAUGGUUAUUGAUGCUCAAUCCAGUUUCAAACAUGGGCGAAAACUUUUCCAGAAUCCUGCGCCUACUUACAAGACCGGAGAAUAUGGGGGAUAUGUCUCAUAUCCUCCGUGACUCUUCUCAUAUUCUUUUUUUUUCUUAAUUUUUUUUCUUUAUUUUAAUUUUAAUACUUCCAUUUAUUAUAAAACUAGUUUAUAAUAAAGGAAAACUGAAAUUAAAAGAGAGAAAUAAAAAGAUUAAGAAAAGAAUGAAGAGAGAAAGACAAGAUCCAGACCAGUUAAAUAUACUACUUAUCUAUAUAGCUUUUGAUAUAUUUACUAAAUAAGGAGUUAUACAUUAUUUGUAUUUUAUGUGAUAGUAAAAUUAUAAUAAUUUGACAUUGUCCAA
Molecule: long non-coding RNA, 630 nt
Organism: Lathyrus oleraceus (garden pea)
Lineage: Eukaryota; Viridiplantae; Streptophyta; Magnoliopsida; Fabales; Fabaceae
Exons: 2
Source: RefSeq, a predicted model, not a curated record